This 506-nucleotide ribosomal RNA is filed under the name uncultured bacterium. RNAcentral's name for it is "partial 16S ribosomal RNA". It matches the Rfam family "Bacterial small subunit ribosomal RNA", at positions 29 to 523 of the family's 1533-position model. The record is from RNAcentral.
AGUGAACGCUGGCGGUAGGCCUAACACAUGCAAGUCGAACGGCAGCACAGAGGAGCUCGCUCCUUGGGUGGCGAGUGGCGGACGGGUGAGGAAUACAUCGGAAUCUACUCUGUCGUGGGGGAUAACGUAGGGAAACUUACGCUAAUACCGCAUACGACCUACGGGUGAAAGCAGGGGAUCUUCGGACCUUGCGCGAUUGAAUGAGCCGAUGUCGGAUUAGCUAGUUGGCGGGGUAAAGGCCCACCAAGGCGACGAUCCGUAGCUGGUCUGAGAGGAUGAUCAGCCACACUGGAACUGAGACACGGUCCAGACUCCUACGGGAGGCAGCAGUGGGGAAUAUUGGACAAUGGGCGCAAGCCUGAUCCAGCCAUACCGCGCGGGUGAAGAAGGCCUUCGGGUUGUAAAGCCCUUUUGUUGGGAAAGAAAUCCAUCUGGUUAAUACCCGGGUGGGAUGACGGUACCCAAAGAAUAAGCACCGGCUAACUUCGUGCCAGCAGCCGCCGUAA